Hyaena hyaena (striped hyena) is the source of this 908-nucleotide long non-coding RNA. RefSeq lists it as uncharacterized. The record is from RefSeq and is a predicted model, not a curated record. The transcript is spliced from 5 exons. Lineage: Eukaryota; Metazoa; Chordata; Mammalia; Carnivora; Hyaenidae.
AGAAGGGACACAACAAUUUCAGGUCCCCUUUUCUAAACACAGUGCUCUUUUCACUUCAAAGGUCGUGGAGAUGACCGAGUGCAAAGAGGUUCACAGUAUUUGGGGUUAUUUAUGCAACUUGUUGUGGACAUACAAUUUAAGCUUGACCAGUCUGAUCACAGUGGAAUGAGCCCUGGCUAAGUGGUAGGGAUUAAUCUGCCAGGAGACAGUCUUCGAUAAAUUAUUUGGUAUUCCUUUUAGCCUACUUUACAAAUGACGGAGCCCAGAGAUGCUGAGUAAAUUGCCCAGGACCACACAACUGAUAAGGGGCAGAGAGAGACAAGACUCAAUCCAAGUUCAGUGACUCCACAGCUUGGACUUGCUCCUCAGUGCCCAGCAGUAUAGUUGGUAUAUCAUCACCAUUAACAUCACCAACAUCAAAUAUUAAUGGAGCUGCUUCUACCCACUGUCAGUGAUCUUCUCAGUGCUGGAAACUCAGAAAUGUAAGGUGUGGCUUUGUAAUGACUGUUCAGGACUGAUGCAUGUAUUUCAGGCUGUUGGGAGUAUCAGUAUCCACUGUAGCACCCCUCACUGGGGACUACCUUCAGCUGCAGGGAACUGCCCUGCCCAAGGUUACAGAGGUAACCCAGAGCCAGUGAUGGGAUUACUGAGGAAAACAAUACUACAGACUCCUUUGUCUCAAUUUUAGUCAACUCUAAAGAUCCAUGCAGCCUCAGAGAUCCUGCAAUGGUCAUCUGAGGCCUCACUUGUAACUGCACUACCAUUCAGCUUCUCACUGUGCCCAGUACUACCUUGCUUGCUUCUGUACUUUAAAGGCAUCGCCCAAGACUCCUCUCCAAUAAAACUUUGGCGUGCAACUCCCCGUCUCACAGUCUGGUUCCAGGGAACCCAAUAUCUGUCCGUGCUGC